CGUAUGUCCGUUUUAUGCUCAUUUAGUCGUUCUUCUGGUGUUCGCCCUGUAACCCCUAUGUAUCUCUUUUCCAAGUUAUUGGUUUUGUCACUUAUUGGGAUACUGUAUACUCCAGAUUUAUAUUUAUCCUCUAGCCGAUCUUUACUGUUUCGAAGGCACGCAAAGGUAGAAGGGUUUCGUCUUAUGGUGAGUUUUUUAUUCGCUAGGUGAAGUGCUUUUUUAAUAGCUGGAUAUUUCACUAGAUGGUAAGGUAUUGCAACAUAAUUGUCAUUGGCGCUAAUGGGUGGUUGCUGUAAGUUAGGAGCCUCUUCAUUUUGCUGCACUCUUGCUUCAUUGAUGGCAGUUUCUACGUUUUUCUUGAUGGAGAGUAACAGGCCUUUGUGGUGGCCAUGCUUUGUUCCGUGCUCAAGGAUGUGUUGCACCUCACGGUUAUAGUCGAUAGGAUAUGUGCAGUAUAGAUGCGCUCUGCUGAAGUAUGAACGG
RNAcentral lists this long non-coding RNA (483 nucleotides) under Androctonus crassicauda. The record is from RNAcentral. Lineage: Eukaryota; Metazoa; Arthropoda; Arachnida; Scorpiones; Buthidae.